This 176-nucleotide long non-coding RNA is filed under the name Mustela putorius furo (domestic ferret). RNAcentral describes it as "lncRNA (ENSMPUG00000027973.1)". The record is from RNAcentral. Lineage: Eukaryota; Metazoa; Chordata; Mammalia; Carnivora; Mustelidae.
ACCCUGGUCUGGAGAUGAGCCGAGAAGGACAGAUUUAGCUGUGUUCCCUGGUGAGCAUUCUCUUGGUUGUACUGCAUUUCUAGGUAUUAUCUCUGACUUGUAUUUUGGAAAAAAUAUUGAACCACAAAAGACCUGAUUAGCCCAAGCAAUCCUGAAAAAUAAAAGCAACGCAGGAG